ACUCAGUCUGUUAGCCAAACUUCUAGUUGUUGUUAGUAAUAGUUAAUAUAGUGUAAUAUUUGUGAUGUUUUAUGUGUGUUGGGUUACUGAUAUGUUAAAAGAGAGGAGAAGUUUUUUGUUUUGUUUAUUAUGGUUUCAACGUUGCACAUGUAUGUUGAAGAUGAUGGUGAUGAUGAAAACUACCUGUUCAUAAGCCUUAUAAACCUUUAAGCACUUAUACUUAAACAAUUUGACAGGUAUGGUGUAAGUGUGUGUGUGUAUAUGUGUGUGAGAGAGUAUGCAUAAGAGUCUAAGUAUAGGCCAAACAAAAAAAAAACAAACUGAAAAUAAACAUGAUAUGGCGGUUGAACGGCGUACAGACAGACAGACUUUAACAGCUUCAAUAUAUGGACUUGUAAAGUAAAAUGGGCAUGCCAACGACAUCAGUACGUAAAUGACCGUGCAACAAACGUGUGUGUUUUUAUUUUUAACAAAAAAAUAAAACAUUUUUAACAAAAAAACAACAACAACUGAUGUCUUAAAGAAAAAAAUCACAAUAGUGACCAUUUGUGUUCAAAAAAAAUCACAAUAAUGAAGAUAAUUAAAGCUUUGUGACAAAUUUUAUACAAAAAAACUUUAACUAACCUCUAUUUUUGAGUGUAUUUAAAUCAAUACCUAUUUUUUAAAUGUAAAAAAUACAUAAAAAACUUAAAAACUAAACAUGUGAUAAUUUUCCUAGAAAUGAAACCAAUCUAUUGAAAA
Molecule: long non-coding RNA, 741 nt
Organism: Lucilia cuprina (Australian sheep blowfly)
Lineage: Eukaryota; Metazoa; Arthropoda; Insecta; Diptera; Calliphoridae
Exons: 2
Source: RefSeq, a predicted model, not a curated record